This 76-nucleotide microRNA precursor is filed under the name Lottia gigantea (owl limpet). Its description in RNAcentral is "mir-1 microRNA precursor family". It matches the Rfam family "mir-1 microRNA precursor family". From Rfam's summary of the family: This family represents the microRNA (miRNA) mir-1 family. miRNAs are transcribed as ~70nt precursors (modelled here) and subsequently processed by the Dicer enzyme to give a ~22nt product. In this case the mature sequence comes from the 3' arm of the precursor. The record is from Rfam by way of RNAcentral. Lineage: Eukaryota; Metazoa; Mollusca; Gastropoda; Lottiidae.
AUGCAGACAACAUACUUCCUUGCUAUCCCAUAUUUUAUAUAAUGCUAUGGAAUGUAAAGAAGUAUGUAUUUUGUGU